ACAGCAGUAGCCGCGGUAAUACGGAGGGUGCAAGCGUUAUCCGGAUUUAUUGGGUUUAAAGGGUACGUAGGCGGAUCUGUAAGUCAGUGGUGAAAUCUCACAGCUUAACUGUGAAACUGCCAUUGAUACUGCAGGUCUUGAGUAAAUUUGAAGUGGCUGGAAUAAGUAGUGUAGCGGUGAAAUGCAUAGAUAUUACUUAGAACACCAAUUGCGAAGGCAGGUCACUAAGAUUUAACUGACGCUGAUGGACGAAAGCGUGGGGAGCGAACAGGAUUAGAGACCCCUGUAGUCCCUGUCUCUUAUAC
RNAcentral lists this ribosomal RNA (305 nucleotides) under uncultured bacterium. Its description in RNAcentral is "partial 16S ribosomal RNA". It matches the Rfam family "Bacterial small subunit ribosomal RNA", at positions 508 to 807 of the family's 1533-position model. The record is from RNAcentral.